CGCGUAGGCGGCUUGUCAAGCGUCUUGUGAAAGCCCUCGGCUCAACCGAGGAAUUGCAGGGCGAACUGACAGGCUUGAGGCAGGUAGGGGCGAGUGGAACUCUUGGUGGAGCGGUGGAAUGCGUAGAUAUCAAGAGGAACGCCGGUGGCGAAGGCGACUCGCUGGGCCUGUCCUGACGCUGAGGCGCGAAAGCCAGGGGAGCAAACAGGAUUAGAUACCCUGGUAGUCC
This 229-nucleotide ribosomal RNA is filed under the name uncultured bacterium. Its description in RNAcentral is "partial 16S ribosomal RNA". It matches the Rfam family "Bacterial small subunit ribosomal RNA", at positions 568 to 796 of the family's 1533-position model. The record is from RNAcentral.